This 314-nucleotide long non-coding RNA is filed under the name Setaria viridis. RNAcentral's name for it is "long non-coding RNA (SVIR_LNC007773)". The record is from RNAcentral. Lineage: Eukaryota; Viridiplantae; Streptophyta; Magnoliopsida; Poales; Poaceae.
UUAGAAUAAAGGAGAAUGGAGAGGAUGUGUGUAUGCAAACAGUGCUAAGGUAUGAAUUUUUGUACAUAGAGAUGGCUUCUGCUGCUGGAGGUAGUGGUGAUGGUGGGGGCAAUCGUUGUUCCUCUCACAGCAAGGGGAAAACCAUAGUUGGCCCUCAUGAUAAGCUGAAGAAAAUGAGCACGUGGGAGAAAGCAAUGCUUCGUUAUUUGCAAAAAUAUCAUGAAGAUGCUGUUGCGGUGGGUCAGGAACCUCCUUUUGGUGGUCGUUAUCCUUCACCGCCAGUCCUGGGUGUUUCACAUCCACUUAGUACUACU